Molecule: ribosomal RNA, 468 nt
Filed under: uncultured bacterium
Lineage: Bacteria
Description: partial 16S ribosomal RNA
Rfam family: Bacterial small subunit ribosomal RNA
Source: RNAcentral
GACGAACGCUGGCGGCGUGCUUAACACAUGCAAGUCGAACGGAAAGGCCCUGCUUUUGUGGGGUGCUCGAGUGGCGAACGGGUGAGUAACACGUGAGUAACCUGCCCUUGACUUUGGGAUAACUUCAGGAAACUGGGGCUAAUACCGGAUAGGAGCUCCUGCUGCAUGGUGGGGGUUGGAAAGUUUCGGCGGUUGGGGAUGGACUCGCGGCUUAUCAGCUUGUUGGUGGGGUAGUGGCUUACCAAGGCUUUGACGGGUAGCCGGCCUGAGAGGGUGACCGGCCACAUUGGGACUGAGAUACGGCCCAGACUCCUACGGGAGGCAGCAGUGGGGAAUAUUGCACAAUGGGCGGAAGCCUGAUGCAGCAACGCCGCGUGCGGGAUGACGGCCUUCGGAUUGUAAACCGCUUUAGCCUGUGACGAAGCGUGAGUGACGGUAAUGGGUAAAGAAGCACCGGCUAACUACGUG